UGGAUCUCAAAUCAGACAAGACGACCCGCUGAAUUUAAGCAUAU
RNAcentral lists this ribosomal RNA (44 nucleotides) under Gracilaria cervicornis. RNAcentral describes it as "partial 28S ribosomal RNA". The record is from RNAcentral. Lineage: Eukaryota; Rhodophyta; Florideophyceae; Gracilariales; Gracilariaceae. RNAcentral also lists the same sequence under 4 other names.